Molecule: ribosomal RNA, 241 nt
Filed under: uncultured Staphylococcus sp.
Lineage: Bacteria; Bacillati; Bacillota; Bacilli; Caryophanales; Staphylococcaceae
Description: partial 16S ribosomal RNA
Rfam family: Bacterial small subunit ribosomal RNA
Source: RNAcentral
CGGACGGGUGAGUAACACGUGGAUAACCUACCUAUAAGACUGGGAUAACUUCGGGAAACCGGAGCUAAUACCGGAUAAUAUUUUGAACCGCAUGGUUCAAAAGUUAAAGACGGUCUUGCUGUCACUUAUAGAUGGAUCCGCGCUGCAUUAGCUAGUUGGUAAGGUAACGGCUUACCAAGGCAACGAUGCAUAGCCGACCUGAGAGGGUGAUCGGCCACACUGGAACUGAGACACGGUCCAG